UUCUGGUUGAUCCUGCCGGACCUGACUGCUAUCGGAUUGAUACUAAGCCAUGCGAGUCAUUGUAGCAAUACAAGGCAGACGGCUCAGUAACGCGUAGUCAAUCUACCCUAUGGACGGGAAUAACCUCGGGAAACUGAGAAUAAUGCCCGAUAGAACAUUAUACCUGGAACGGUUUAUGUUUCAAAUGAUUUAUCGCCGUAGGAUGGGACUGCGGCCUAUCAGUUUGUUGGUGAGGUAAUGGCCCACCAAGACUAUUACAGGUACGGGCUCUGAGAGGAGUAGCCCGGAGAUGGGUACUGAGACACGGACCCAGGCCCUAUGGGGCGCAGCAGGCGAGAAAACUUUGCAAUGUGCGAAAGCACGACAAGGUUAAUCCGAGUGGUUCCUGCUAAAGAAACCUUUUGCUAGUCCUAGAAACACUAGUGAAUAAGGGGUGGGCAAGUUCUGGUGUCAGCCGCCGCGGUAAAACCAGCACCUCAAGUGGUCAGGAUGAUUAUUGGGCCUAAAGCAUCCGUAGCUCGUUUUGUAAGUUUUCGGUUAAAUCCAUACGCUUAACGUAUGGGCUGCCGGGAAUACUGCAUAACUAGGAAGUGGGAGAGGUAGACGGUACUCGGUAGGAAGGGGUAAAAUCCUUUGAUCUAUUGAUGACCACCUGUGGCGAAGGCGGUCUACCAGAACACGUUCGACGGUGAGGGAUGAAAGCUGGGGGAGCAAACCGGAUUAGAUACCCGGGUAGUCCCAGCUGUAAACUAUGCAAACUCAGUGAUGCAUUGGCUUGUGGCCAAUGCAGUGCUGCAGGGAAGCCGUUAAGUUUGCCGCCUGGGAAGUACGUACGCAAGUAUGAAACUUAAAGGAAUUGGCGGG
RNAcentral lists this ribosomal RNA (864 nucleotides) under uncultured archaeon. Its description in RNAcentral is "bacterial SSU rRNA". It matches the Rfam family "Archaeal small subunit ribosomal RNA", at positions 1 to 872 of the family's 1478-position model. The record is from RNAcentral.